UACGGAGGAUCCAAGCGUUAUCCGGAUUCAUUGGGUUUAAAGGGUGCGUAGGCGGAAUGAUAAGUCAGUGGUGGAAUCCUUCAGCUUAACUGGAGAAUUGCCAUUGAUACUGUCAAUCUUGAGUACAUUUGAUGUGGGCGGAAUGUGUCAUGUAGCGGUGAAAUGCUUAGAUAUGACACAGAACACCGAUUGCGAAGGCAGCUCACAAAACUGUAACUGACGCUGAGGCACGAAAGUGCGGGGAUCAAACAGG
Molecule: ribosomal RNA, 253 nt
Filed under: uncultured bacterium
Lineage: Bacteria
Description: partial 16S ribosomal RNA
Rfam family: Bacterial small subunit ribosomal RNA
Source: RNAcentral